AUUAAAUUUAAGUGUUGAAUGCAAAGAAUGAAAAUAAACAUGCAAAAUGCAAAUGAAUCAGUUGGCAAGGAAAAUAUAUGGAUGAAUGGAGUUGUUGGGGUUUACAAUUUCAUCUUAUCCACCCUCUUAUAUCUACUUUUCUUAUUUAAUUUUCUUUAUUACUAUAUUGUCAUGCAAACUUUCUUAGUCUACCCUAAACCCAAUCUCUUGGCGAAAAGAGCUUAUUAUUAAUUACUGACUUACUAUCUCUAGUCUCCCCUAGUAAUUAGCAAUGCAUUAUAAACAGAAGCAAAAUAUAAUUGAUUGUCCUACCCCUAUCUCUAGGCGAUAUUAGCUUAAUCAAGGAAUUUCCU
This 353-nucleotide long non-coding RNA is filed under the name Vigna radiata. Its description in RNAcentral is "long non-coding RNA (VRAD_LNC001896)". Lineage: Eukaryota; Viridiplantae; Streptophyta; Magnoliopsida; Fabales; Fabaceae. The record is from RNAcentral.